RNAcentral lists this transfer RNA (75 nucleotides) under Lachnospiraceae bacterium. Its description in RNAcentral is "tRNA-His". It matches the Rfam family "tRNA". From Rfam's summary of the family: Transfer RNA (tRNA) molecules are approximately 80 nucleotides in length. Their secondary structure includes four short double-helical elements and three loops (D, anti-codon, and T loops). Further hydrogen bonds mediate the characteristic L-shaped molecular structure. tRNAs have two regions of fundamental functional importance: the anti-codon, which is responsible for specific mRNA codon recognition, and the 3' end, to which the tRNAs corresponding amino acid is attached (by aminoacyl-tRNA synthetases). tRNAs cope with the degeneracy of the genetic code in two manners: having more than one tRNA (with a specific anti-codon) for a particular amino acid; and 'wobble' base-pairing, i.e. permitting non-standard base-pairing at the 3rd anti-codon position. The record is from RNAcentral. Lineage: Bacteria; Bacillati; Bacillota; Clostridia; Lachnospirales; Lachnospiraceae.
GUGGCUAUAGAACAAUGGCUAGUUCGGCAGAUUGUGGAUCUGCUCAUCCGGGUUCGAUUCCCGGUAGUCACCCCA